Molecule: ribosomal RNA, 253 nt
Filed under: uncultured bacterium
Lineage: Bacteria
Description: partial 16S ribosomal RNA
Rfam family: Bacterial small subunit ribosomal RNA
Source: RNAcentral
UACGGAGGGUGCAAACGUUGCUCGGAAUCAUUGGGCGUAAAGCGCACGUAGGCGGCCUGUUAAGUCGGGUGUGAAAGCCCUGGGCUCAACCCAGGAAGUGCACUCGAAACUGGCGGGCUUGAAUAUGGAAGAGGGUCGCGGAAUUUCCGGUGUAGAGGUGAAAUUCGUAGAUAUCGGGAGGAACACCAGUGGCGAAGGCGGCGACCUGGGCCAAUAUUGACGCUGAGGUGCGAAAGCGUGGGGAGCAAACAGG